GAUCCUGGGCUCAGGACGAACGCUGGCGGCGCGCCUAACACAUGCAAGUCGAACGAGAGAUGAGGAGCUUGCUCUUCAAAUCGAGUGGCGAACGGGUGAGUAACGCGUGAGGAACCUGCCUCAAAGAGGGGGACAACAGUUGGAAACGACUGCUAAUACCGCAUAAGCCCACGGCUCGGCAUCGAGCAGAGGGAAAAGGAGUGAUCCGCUUUGAGAUGGCCUCGCGUCCGAUUAG
Molecule: ribosomal RNA, 235 nt
Filed under: uncultured bacterium
Lineage: Bacteria
Description: partial 16S ribosomal RNA
Rfam family: Bacterial small subunit ribosomal RNA
Source: RNAcentral